This 429-nucleotide ribosomal RNA is filed under the name Verrucomicrobiota bacterium. RNAcentral's name for it is "Verrucomicrobia bacterium partial 16S ribosomal RNA". It matches the Rfam family "Bacterial small subunit ribosomal RNA", at positions 355 to 776 of the family's 1533-position model. The record is from RNAcentral. Lineage: Bacteria; Pseudomonadati; Verrucomicrobiota.
UAGGGAAUCUUCCGCAAUGGGCGAAAGCCUGACGGAGCAACGCCGCGUGAGUGAUGAAGGUCUUCGGAUCGUAAAACUCUGUUAUUAGGGAAGAACAUACGUGUAAGUAACUAUGCACGUCUUGACGGUACUUAAUCAGAAAGCCACGGCUAACUACGUGCCAGCAGCCGCGGUAAUACGUAGGUGGCAAGCGUUAUCCGGAAUUAUUGGGCGUAAAGCGCGCGUAGGCGGUUUUUUAAGUCUGAUGUGAAAGCCCACGGCUCAACCGUGGAGGGUCAUUGGAAACUGGAAAACUUGAGUGCAGAAGAGGAAAGUGGAAUUCCAUGUGUAGCGGUGAAAUGCGCAGAGAUAUGGAGGAACACCAGUGGCGAAGGCGACUUUCUGGUCUGUAACUGACGCUGAUGUGCGAAAGCGUGGGGAUCAAACAGG